RNAcentral lists this transfer RNA (71 nucleotides) under Bifidobacterium cuniculi. It matches the Rfam family "tRNA". Rfam says of the family: Transfer RNA (tRNA) molecules are approximately 80 nucleotides in length. Their secondary structure includes four short double-helical elements and three loops (D, anti-codon, and T loops). Further hydrogen bonds mediate the characteristic L-shaped molecular structure. tRNAs have two regions of fundamental functional importance: the anti-codon, which is responsible for specific mRNA codon recognition, and the 3' end, to which the tRNAs corresponding amino acid is attached (by aminoacyl-tRNA synthetases). tRNAs cope with the degeneracy of the genetic code in two manners: having more than one tRNA (with a specific anti-codon) for a particular amino acid; and 'wobble' base-pairing, i.e. permitting non-standard base-pairing at the 3rd anti-codon position. Lineage: Bacteria; Bacillati; Actinomycetota; Actinomycetes; Bifidobacteriales; Bifidobacteriaceae. The record is from Rfam by way of RNAcentral.
GCGUUGGUGGUGCAGUGGUAGCACGACAGUCUCCAAAACUGUAGACGGAGGUUCGAUUCCUCCUCAACGUG